UUGGCAGCCCUCGAGACUGAAUUCCACUAUUUAUCCAUAGAAUAGGUACAGCCAGGGCAAGAUUCCCCUUUCCCUCCACAGUGCCAAUGUCCUUCAGCUCUGCAGGACUCCACUCAUAGGCUUGGGAAGGUAAUUCAGUCUCCAUGCCACAUUCAGUCCUUGGCCUCC
Molecule: unclassified non-coding RNA, 168 nt
Organism: Chelonoidis abingdonii (Abingdon island giant tortoise)
Lineage: Eukaryota; Metazoa; Chordata; Testudines; Testudinidae
Source: Ensembl